Molecule: ribosomal RNA, 468 nt
Filed under: uncultured bacterium
Lineage: Bacteria
Description: partial 16S ribosomal RNA
Rfam family: Bacterial small subunit ribosomal RNA
Source: RNAcentral
GACGAACGCUGGCGGCGUGCUUGACACAUGCAAGUCGAACGGAAAGGCCCUGCUUUUGUGGGGUGCUCGAGUGGCGAACGGGUGAGUAACACGUGAGUAACCUGCCCUUGACUUUGGGAUAACUUCGGGAAACUGGGGCUAAUACCGGAUAGGAGCUCCUGCUGCAUGGUGGGGGUUGGAAAGUUUCGGCGGUUGGGGAUGGACUCGCGGCUUAUCAGCUUGUUGGUGGGGUAGUGGCUUACCAAGGCUUUGACGGGUAGCCGGCCUGAGAGGGUGACCGGCCACAUUGGGACUGAGAUACGGCCCAGACUCCUACGGGAGGCAGCAGUGGGGAAUAUUGCACAAUGGGCGGAAGCCUGAUGCAGCAACGCCGCGUGCGGGAUGACGGCCUUCGGGUUGUAAACCGCUUUCGCCUGUGACGAAGCGUGAGUGACGGUAAUGGGUAAAGAAGCACCGGCUAACUACGUG